GUACACACCGCCGUCACACCACGAGAGUUUGUAACACCCGAAGCCGGUGGAGUAACCUUUUAGGAGCUAGCCGUCGAAGGUGGGACAAAUGAUUGGGGUGAAGUCGUAACAAGGUAGCCGUAUCGGAAGGUGCGGCUGGAUCACCUCCUUUCUAAGGAUAUAUUCGGAAC
This 170-nucleotide ribosomal RNA is filed under the name Staphylococcus aureus MUM475. RNAcentral's name for it is "partial 16S ribosomal RNA". The stretch from base 1 to 151 matches the Rfam family "Bacterial small subunit ribosomal RNA", at positions 1383 to 1533 of the family's 1533-position model. Lineage: Bacteria; Bacillati; Bacillota; Bacilli; Caryophanales; Staphylococcaceae. The record is from RNAcentral.